AGAACUGCCGGCGUUAAGCCGGAGGAAGGUGGGGACGACGUCAAGUCAUCAUGGCCCUUAUGUCCAGGGCCACACACGUGCUACAAUGGGCGGUACCAAAGGUCGCAAACCCGCGAGGGGAGCCAAUCCCAAAAAGCCGCUCUCAGUUCGGAUUGGAGUCUGCAACUCGACUCCAUGAAGUUGGAAUCGCUAGUAAUCGCGGAUCAGCACGCCGCGGUGAAUACGUUCCCGGGCCUUGUACACACCGCCCGUCACACCAUGGAAGCCAGCUGUACCGGAAGUCGGUG
This 287-nucleotide ribosomal RNA is filed under the name uncultured soil bacterium. RNAcentral's name for it is "partial 16S ribosomal RNA". It matches the Rfam family "Bacterial small subunit ribosomal RNA", at positions 1145 to 1432 of the family's 1533-position model. The record is from RNAcentral.